RNAcentral lists this ribosomal RNA (400 nucleotides) under uncultured bacterium. RNAcentral's name for it is "bacterial SSU rRNA". It matches the Rfam family "Bacterial small subunit ribosomal RNA", at positions 356 to 773 of the family's 1533-position model. The record is from RNAcentral.
GGGGAAUAUUGGACAAUGGGCGCAAGCCUGAUCCAGCCAUGCCGCGUGAGUGAUGAAGGUCUUAGGAUUGUAAAGCUCUUUCACCGAUGAAGAUAAUGACGGUAGUCGGAGAAGAAGCCCCGGCUAACUUCGUGCCAGCAGCCGCGGUAAUACGAAGGGGGCUAGCGUUGUUCGGAAUUACUGGGCGUAAAGCGCACGUAGGCGGAUAUUUAAGUCAGGGGUGAAAUCCCGCAGCUCAACUGCGGAACUGCCUUUGAUACUGGGUAUCUUGAGUAUGGAAGAGGUUAGUGGAAUUGCGAGUGUAGAGGUGAAAUUCGUAGAUAUUCGCAGGAACACCAGUGGCGAAGGCGGCUGACUGGUCCAUUACUGACGCUGAGGUGCGAAAGCGUGGGGAGCAAAC